AGUGAACGCUGGCGGCAGGCCUAAUACAUGCAAGUCGAACGGCAGCACAGUGGAGCUUGCUCCAUGGGUGGCGAGUGGCGGACGGGUGAGGAAUACAUGGGAAUCUGCCCAGUCGUGGGGGUACGUAUGAACGUACGCUAUACGCAUGAGACCUCGAGGGUGGAAAGACGGGGGAGGUCGCAAGAACCUCCGCGCUAUUGGAGGCGGCCGGACUAUCAGAUUAGUCUAGUUGGUUGGGGUAAAGGGACCGUACCCAACGGACAACGAUCUGUAGUUGGUCUGAGAGGACGACCACGCCACACUGGGACGUGAGACACGGCCCACGACUCCUACCGGGAGGCGAGCAGUGGGGAAGUUUUGGUACAAUGGGCGGCAAGCCUGAUCCAGCAAUGCC
This 394-nucleotide ribosomal RNA is filed under the name uncultured bacterium. RNAcentral's name for it is "bacterial SSU rRNA". It matches the Rfam family "Bacterial small subunit ribosomal RNA", at positions 30 to 398 of the family's 1533-position model. The record is from RNAcentral.